UUUCUUCACUUCUUGGGCUUACAUCAACCCUGUAGAUCCGAAUUUGUGUCCGAGUUUCUCGCCUCUGGUAGUCACAGAUUCGUAUCUCUGGGUAACUGUAUCCCAGGACU
Molecule: microRNA precursor, 110 nt
Filed under: Strongylocentrotus purpuratus (purple sea urchin)
Lineage: Eukaryota; Metazoa; Echinodermata; Echinoidea; Camarodonta; Strongylocentrotidae
Description: microRNA mir-10
Rfam family: mir-10 microRNA precursor family (bases 19-102)
About the family: In this case the mature sequence comes from the 5' arm of the precursor. The extents of the hairpin precursors are not generally known and are estimated based on hairpin prediction.
Source: RNAcentral